Molecule: ribosomal RNA, 207 nt
Filed under: uncultured bacterium
Lineage: Bacteria
Description: partial 16S ribosomal RNA
Rfam family: Bacterial small subunit ribosomal RNA
Source: RNAcentral
UGCGUAGGUGGUUGGUUAAGUUUGAGGUGAAAGCUCCGAGCUCAACUCGGAAAAUGCCUUGAAGACUAUCUGACUAGAGGAUUGGAGGGGAGAUUGGAAUUCUCGGUGUAGCAGUGAAAUGCGUAGAUAUCGAGAGGAACACCAGUGGCGAAGGCGAAUCUCUGGACAAUUCCUGACACUGAGACACGAAAGCCAAGGGAGCAAACG